This 253-nucleotide ribosomal RNA is filed under the name uncultured bacterium. RNAcentral describes it as "partial 16S ribosomal RNA". It matches the Rfam family "Bacterial small subunit ribosomal RNA", at positions 524 to 776 of the family's 1533-position model. The record is from RNAcentral.
UACAGAGACUGCAAGCGUUAUUCGGAUUCACUGGGCGUAAAGGGUGCGCAGGCGGCCAAGUGUGUGAGGCGUGAAAGCCCGAAGCUUAACUUCGGAAUUGCACCUCAAACUACAUGGCUAGAGCAUUGGAGAGGGUAGCGGAAUUCACGGUGUAGCAGUGAAAUGCGUAGAUAUCGUGAGGAACACCAGAGGCGAAGGCGGCUACCUGGACAAUUGCUGACGCUCAGGUACGAAAGCGUGGGGAGCAAAAGGG